GCCUCAAAAUUUCAGAAAAUUCAAAGUUCCCUCUUUUAUGCAAUUAGCGCCUCUUGUACGCUGCCAAUUAGCGCCUCAUGUAGUUUCUCCUUCGCAUAGUUCCAGAUUUCAUGAAGUUUCUAGCUUUAUUCUCCGUUUCUUGGAUCUCAAACAUUUUUCUUGAUUCAUCUACCUUGGCGACCGAAUGUCGAUGCCUUUCUUGGAUCUCCUUAAUUCCGUGGAAAUUACUCAUGACCUUUAAUUUGGGUCUCCAUCAUAGGAAACCUAGGUCGCGAGUCCAUGUUUAGGCCAUCUUUAAUUUGUUCUCCCAAAUGCUUUAUUUUAUUUUUUUAAGCGAUCUCAUGAAUAAGUUGUUCUGUUCGUUGUUGGAGGACUUGGUGGCCGGUGACGAGAAGUGACGGUGGAGUUGAUGACUAUAGCGCUUGCUUUCUCACCAAAUUGCAAGGUGCUGAAUGAUCUUUUGCCCUCUCUCUCUCUCUCUCUCUCUCUCUCUCUCUCUCAAAGUAACACAUCUUUCUUAGCUGUAUAUUUGAGUUUAUUUGGUUAUUUUGAUGCAUGUUUUAUUCGAAUUCAUGUAAGUCGAGGGAACGGGUGGCCGUUGAAGCCAUCAUCGUAUGAAGGUAGGAUUUCCCAUCUCAUCCUGAUUCCAACAGAUUUUAAUUUCUCUCUAUUUUUCACUGCUGUGAUUUUCUUUUGGAGAAUUGGGUGGUAUCAUCUUCGAGUUCACGUUGCAUGCUUACAGAUUUGGACUCUCAUUUAAUCAGCUUUUUGAGAAGGAGUGCUGGAAAUGGAAAACACAGACAUAGAGCAGGAAACAGAGUCUGCGAUAGUUAUUAAUGGGUAGCAUCUGCAUUAUUUUAAUUUAAACCUUUGUAUCCGUUCUGAGCUUCCCUGCAGCAGUACUCACAUCCCUUUUCAUUCUUUUUCUACUCCAUCAAACUUGUAGUGUUUAGUAUAUUAAUGGUUGUAUCCAAAACAUAGACUAUCCAUUUCGAUUAAUGGAGGAUCCACCAAACUGCGACGACCCAUCAUGUAAUAUUGUUAUUCAUGUCAUACUUCGAAUAAAAGAAAUUACAACUUGAUAUUGUUAUUCUGACUGAAAAUAUUAUGGGGAAAAUAAUGUUUCUUUUACGUUGGUUGUAAAACUGAAAAUGAUAAGAACUAAGCUACUUAACUAGACGACGUUGUUGUAUUUUGAUGCUGAGGAGCUAAUGUUAAUUCCUUUAAUUUGCAGCAAAAUCGUAGCUCUUGGCUUUGAUGAAAAAUUUAUAAGGACAUGGAAAUAUUACUUUGAAUAUUGUCCAGCUGGUUUUAAGUCUUGUACACUCGGAGUCUAUCAGGUAUUUAGAGAGAUCAUUUCUCGGCUUCUAUCCCUGGUAAUUUAAGUUGGUUGCAUCCAUUUUUUUACUCACCAUAUUUCCCAUUACUAAUUACUAUGGUUUUCUUGAGCUGUGAAAAGCAAGUGAAUACAUCCUUUUAUUGGAACGAUUCAACUUAUUGCUUUAAGACCGAAGUAUAUUCUUCCAACUCUUCAUCGUCUUCCCAUGAUAUGCAUAGAUAUGUUAAAUAUCUAGAUAGACCUCCAUAUCCAGGGCAGGUGGAGGAAUCUUGUCAAAUAGAGCAAAUAUCCCUAAUAUCGAGGGAAGGCUGUCAAUAUAUCCAAAAACUGCUUCCCGCGAAGAGAUUCGAAACGAAUUGUUAUGCGGUUUUAAGUUUAAUUGGCUACAUGUUUCUUGUCAAUGCGAGGGACCCAACAAUUGCUACCUCGAUGACGUGAAUAAAAUUUAAUGUGAUAAUGGUAUGUACGUACACAGAAGAAUGCAUGCUUGAAAAAUAUGCAACACUUUCAAGUAGUAGUUGAGAUCUUGAUUCUUCAAAGGACUGGCAGACAUAUACAAAGGGUUGGUGGACGUAUAUAAUGUAUUCAAAAUUCCAAAUCCAUGAUGGGUGCACUUUGAGAAAUUCUUAUGUCAUGCCUUCUCACCUUCCAGGUGGUGGAGUUAUUGGAUCAAUCUUGGUGGUCGUUUGCUUGUUUUGGGUUGGUCUGGUAGAAGAAGAACUACCCAUGAAAGAAAUGGUCGGAAAACUAACGACAAACACAAUGUAAAGUAAAAUAAUUAUCCAUGAAGAAGAGCUUUCAUGUAAUGUGAUUUGUGUUACUUUUUUAUUAUUAUUAUAUGAAUAAUGAUUCAUUAUAUCAUAUUUAUUAUUAAUUUAUUUAUUAUAUAUUUUUAUUAUGGUAUAUCA
This is an RNA transcript of Carya illinoinensis, 2247 nucleotides long. RefSeq lists it as uncharacterized. The record is from RefSeq and is a predicted model, not a curated record. Lineage: Eukaryota; Viridiplantae; Streptophyta; Magnoliopsida; Fagales; Juglandaceae. The transcript has 5 exons.